This 504-nucleotide ribosomal RNA is filed under the name uncultured bacterium. Its description in RNAcentral is "bacterial SSU rRNA". It matches the Rfam family "Bacterial small subunit ribosomal RNA", at positions 791 to 1301 of the family's 1533-position model. The record is from RNAcentral.
UAGUCCACGCCCUAAACGAUGUUUACUCGGUAUUGGCGAUAUACUGUCAGUGCCCAAGCGAAAGCGUUAAGUAAACCACCUGGGGAGAACGGUCGCAAGAUUGAAACUCAAAGGAAUUGACGGGGGCCCGCACAAGCGGUGGAGCAUGUGGUUUAAUUCGAUGAUACGCGAGGAACCUUACCAGGGCUUAAAUGUAAGUUGCAUAGAGUAGAGAUAUCCUUUUCUUCGGACUACUUACAAGGUGCUGCAUGGUUGUCGUCAGCUCGUGCCGUGAGGUGUCAGGUUAAGUCCUAUAACGAGCGCAACCCCUACCGUUAGUUGCCAGCAUGUAAAGAUGGGGACUCUAGCGGGACUGCCAGUGCAAACUGUGAGGAAGGUGGGGAUGACGUCAAAUCAUCACGGCCCUUACGUCCUGGGCUACACACGUGCUACAAUGGUAUAGACAGAGAGCAGCCACUACGCGAGUAGGAGCGAAUCUACAAACUAUAUCUCAGUUCGGAUCGG